CACCCCCUGGCAUAGGGUCCUGCCCCCCACCUAGGGCCCACCUAGGCCUCCCACCUACCUGACCGCUUUGGAGGUCAGUCGUUGGAUGGGGGGGUCCCUCUGUUCUGCUGCGACAUCAGAGGAAUCUGGAAUCCUGGCCAGGCCAACAGACGGAGGGGUGGCCAGCAGCCUCCUCCUCUGAUGCCCCCUCGGACACCUGGGUCCCAUCGCUGCCAUGGGCAGCGGAAAGGGAACUCCCUGCAGAAGGCCAUCGCUGUGGUCCAGGAAGGCUGUGCUGACCCUGAAGGUCAGGAAAAGAUGUCGGGGUGUAAAAAGAGGCAGCGGCGGUGUAGUGGUUAGAGUGCCAGGCUAGGACCCAGGGAAGACCAGGGUUCGAAUGCCCCCAGCCAGCCAUGAAGGUUGCUGGGUGUGAGCUCAGGGGAGUGUCGGCCUCCUUCUGUCGGCCUGACCUGCCUCACAGGGCUGCUGUGGGGACUCCAUGAGGACUAGGAGCAAGACCAGGGUUCGGAUCCCCACUAGGACAAAAAGGGCGCUGGGUGACUUUGUGGGGCAGGCACUGCCGCUCCGCCUAACCGACCUCACAGGGUUGUUGUGGGGCUUCAAUGAGGACUAGGAUCUGGGAGAGACCGGGGUUCGAAUCCCCCACCCAGUGGCUGUAAAGCUUGCUGAAGAUGACCUUGUGGGGGGGCGGUCACUGCUUUCUCUUGGCCUGACCUACCUUACAAGGUUGUUGUUGUGGGGAUUCAAUGAGGAGGUGGGAGGAGAACCAUGUGCCCCACCUUGAGGUUCCUGGAGGGAAAGUUGGGCUGCAAAUGCAGAAAAUAAAUAAAUUCCAUUCCAAGUGGACCAAAUCCCACUUUUUGAAAUCUCAGGCGGGGGGGGGGGUGGCUACAUACUUCCUCUGCAAACCCCUUUGUUCCCCCCCCUCAAAUAAUCAGCCUUUUUUAGUCAUAUCCCCUCCCUCUGGUUAUCCCCUUCUCCAGACUCUCUUAUUUCAAUCCCCCCCCCCUCUUUUAAAAAAGCGGGGGAGCAGCAAGGAUCCAGGGUGGUUUACGAAAACAAAAAAGAUGUGAUAAAGCUUAGGUAGAAAUGCACAAAAUAAAUCCUAAAUAAACCCCAUAUUGUUGAGCCUUCACUACUAGAGCAUGUGGGGCAAGAACCCAACGUGCUGGCAUGGAGGGGGCACCUCAUUCUCCCUGCCACCCCCAAAGGCCACCCGGGUGCAGACGGGUCUUCAAAGGGCCUUCAAAGGGGUCUUCAAAGGGCCACGGGUGGAAUGCAAGUGGUUGCAAAGAAGCAAAGGCCUCCACAGGAGAGCCAGAGGAAAGCCGCUUUGUACCUCCACAGAGAACUGGAGCCUCCGGAGAGGGUCAGGGGGAGGGGAAGCCAUCUUGCGCCCCCCCCCCGUUCUUAGUGGGGGUGGGAGGGCCUUGAAAAUAUUUCAGAACAGGGCCUAUUUUCAAGGCCCUGUUCUGAGAGAGACUCUCCCUUCAGCUCCAUUACUCUGGGGCGCCACAGCUGGAGAAAGCAUCUCCUGCGUGAAGGGCCUGGCUGGCAUGUGGGAUGUAAUCCAUUGGAGCAGUCAAGUACAAUAUUCCUUGUUUUCCUAGAGUGGACACAGACAGGGAGAUAGAUGUAGCCGAGUUCCAUUCCCCUUUCUUACAUGCAUAGCAGAUAGCUGGUUGCAGGCUCGUGUGAGCCUCUCACUAUUAUACAAUUCAGUCUGUCUCAGAUUGAAUUGUACGUUCCUGGUAAGUUCCCUUGAAUCCCUCUUAAAAGAAUCAAGACACGACAAUCUUAUUCAAAGUCAAUAAAAUAACUUUACUCACAUCAGUUCACAGUUGGAUUCCUGAAGGUAGACUUAGUUACAAAUAUGUACAUGUGGAUCUACCCCAUAUUGGAUAAUAACCCAGUGCUUCUGCUAGCUGGAAGCUAGCAGAGCAGUCCUAGCUAAAAGCUGGUCAAAUUAAGAAGGAAGUCAAAAAGAGGGAGAGUGCUGCGUGACUCGUCCUUUUGUUACCUGGACAGGUGAGGUCACGCCCACCUCUAGUCACAUGCAAAGGAAGGAUGCUCCAGCCAGGAGGAACAGGAAGUUUUGACUGGCUGGACCAAACAUUCCCCCACAUGUCUUCUCUAGCAUUACAAGGAAUGUUGUACUUGACUGCCUCUCAUGGAUCACAUCCCACAAUAACUUUCUGUUCCACCUGGUCUGGAGCAUCCUCCCCCUGCAUGUGACCAGGUAGGUGGGCGUGAAGCUUGCAGACCCAACAAAAGGUCCAGUCACGCAGCUCUCUUUUUCUUCUUCUGCUUUUCUUCUCUUGGACUGCACUGCUGGCUCUCAGCCAGCAGCACAUGGGAUCAAUCCCAACCUCUCUCUGUAACUGUAACUACAAGCCAAAGCCUGCCUUCAGGGAGCAUACUGUGAACUGAAUGUAAGUAAACUUCUUGCUACUUUUAAGGAAAGACGGCUGUGUCUUUAUUCUUUUGAGCGGGAUCAAAGGGGACUUACCACGAAUAAAUCCAAUCUGGGCAAGCCAGACUGGAUUGCUUAACGAAAGAGAUUCACACGAAUCUGCAAACUAGCUUCCUGCUGUCUAAGGGGAACGUGUUCUGCUACUUGACUCCCUAGCGAGAGUGAGGAAGGGUAAUAUUUAAUCUGAUCUGGGAUCGUAAUUAACUUCAUUUCAUUUCAUAUUUAAUCAAGAUAUCCUCUCCUACUAUUUACAACAUUCUCACAUGGCAGACAGAGACAACAAGAGGGACCGGGAUCCCACAGAGGGGAGGAAGGAGUGGAUAUGGUAAAAUGUUUAAGUGCUGCGACUGAAACUUUAAAAAAAUGAAACGAUUUAAUGUUUUCUAUUUGUAGCAGCUGUGGCUUUUCACCCCUUUCUAUGCAUUUGAUCCAUAUUUUUUCCAUUAAUAUGCAAAGAAUAUAUUUUUUAUAAUUUAAAAAAAGGUGAAAAUAAGGAGAUCUGCCCAUGCUGACAGGCCUUUGAUGUUGUUAACAUCCCCCAAGACCUUCAGGUUCAGCUGAUAUUGUUCCAGGUUGUGGGGACAGUCUGGAUGGCCCCUGGGGACCCCUCCUAGCCUGUAUUCCUGCGUGUGGAUGGAAUCUGUUAAGAGGAAACUGCUGAACUAGUCUAAGAAAAAUGGAAAUGACUUAAUGGAUCUCUUUUGUGGUGGCUGCUGCUUUUCAUCCCCUUUGAUGGGAAACCCAGUCAGAUGGGCGGG
Molecule: non-coding RNA, 3231 nt
Organism: Podarcis lilfordi (Lilford's wall lizard)
Lineage: Eukaryota; Metazoa; Chordata; Lepidosauria; Squamata; Lacertidae
Source: the annotation of a GenBank genome assembly